Molecule: long non-coding RNA, 6378 nt
Organism: Pezoporus occidentalis (night parrot)
Lineage: Eukaryota; Metazoa; Chordata; Aves; Psittaciformes; Psittacidae
Exons: 3
Source: RefSeq, a predicted model, not a curated record
CACCCAGACAAGCCAUCUGCCACCCGGAAACUACAAACUAUUGAUUCCCUGUCCUCCAUGCAAUGUAGAGAUCAGAACUGUGUGCUGAAGUCAAGGUGAAAGUGCACCAAUGUUUUACACAGUGCCAGAGUGACCUCUCUGUCACAUUCUCAGUAACCUCCCUGAUGAUGUGCAACAUAGUGACUUCCGGCUCCUGCUGGACAUUGAGCCAGAAGGUAACUUCCCUCCCACAGCAUCUCUGAUUUGUCCUGCAGCAUCUAUUCUCUUUCUAAAAGGACUGGGCUUUUCCAGUCCCUUUCUCUGUUAUAGCUAUUUCUUUUUCUUUCCCUCCAGUCACAUUUACUUUGAACACUCAAGAACUGGCAGAGUUAAAAUCCAGGCUAAUUCAGUGACUAAAGGCUUCAAACUGCUGUGUUUUUAACUGGAAAGCAGAACGGAAUCCUAAUUGGAAGCCAAAACCAGAUCUGAACAGAAUUUGAAAUCCCAUUUUGAAGCCCUUUUCAAACAUACAUCUAUAUAAGACUUACUGUUUCUGGCAUCCCCUAGCACAUAUUUGUGCAGUAUAGGGACUGUUUAGACUAGAUUUUGCACAAGCCUUUGUUUCAGGACUGUAGCAAGGGUGCACUGGCUGCUCUGUGCUGCUCUUUAGAUUCUCACUGAGCUUGUUCACUCAGGGACCUGCCUCCUAAACAGCCUUUGGUAGAAGAGGGCAGGUAAUAGAAUCAUAGAAUCAUACAAUCAAUCAUAGAAUCACAGAAUCAUAGAAUGGUUUGGGUCUGAAAAGACCUUAAAGCUUAUCUAGUUCCAGCCACCUGCCAUGGGUAGGGACACCUUCCACUACACCAGGUUGCUCCAAGCCCCAUCCUACCUGGUCUUGAACACUGCCAGGGAUGGGGCAGCCACAGCUUCUCUAGGCAACCAGCUUUGCCUAGCUUUGAUUCCUGUCCUUCUGUGUCUGUCAACUGUGUGGUUAUUACUAGUGACGUGCCCUGUGGGUAACAGUAGGCCUAAGUUUCUCAAGCCUUUUUCUGUCAGUCUUAUGGUGCGCCUUACUGGGGUAGGUGUGUUUACAUGUAUGCGUUUCUGUGCUUUCAUGACCUACAUUUGUGUGUGUGCAUUCAUCUAUUGGGUAGUGGUUCCCUACUGUUCCUGUUGUGGUAGCCUGUUCAUUAGUCCUGCUUCCCACUCCUCUGCCUGAACUGCCACUAGCUGCCUGCAGUGCUUCACCUUAUUUGCAGGCUUACAUGUGGCCUUAAAGAUUUGAGUAGAGAGAAGCUGCUUUUCUGGCAUGGGAACAUGGAUGAUGUCUGUCCUGAGACAAGGAAGCAAAGAGGUAGGCUGGAGUAACUUCCUGCCUGAAGGUCCAUGCCCCAAGUGUGCCCCAUUCAUACAACAUUUUUGUUUUCAUAUUUGUAACCAUUCAUAAUAGAGUAUGUAAUAUGUAAGCUGUGUGGGCUAAAUGAGCCAACUAGUGAAUCACUGUAUACCCAGCGUAGAGUAAAUUUAACCAGCACUGAUUCCAAACCAGAGGUAAAUAAAAAGUAUACCAUUUCAGCUGUUUCAAACCCAUUAUGAAUAAAAGGCUGAAUGUUGUACAUGGGCAUCAUGCAGUAUAUACUUUUUUGAAGAAACUCUGCAGUCAGAGAGAUUAAAAGAAAUAUCCUAAUGGCUCAUUUUUUAAUGUCUCUUUGGGUUACUCAGGGUUAAAAAUAAAAUUGUAAAAAUCCUUCAUAUAAGCCAAGAGAACUUUACAAUCUUUUACAAGUCAUCUCUACUGUCUUUAACUUCCUCAUGUAGAAUUUGAAGAAGCCUUUCAUACCAGAUACACUACUUCCUUCUUGUGUAAGUGUUGUUGGAUUAUGUGUUAUAAUAAAACCACUUUGCAGCAGGUUAUUUAUUAAAAUACUUGUAUUAUAUUAAGUAUAUAUAACUUGCAUAACUAUAUCAGAGCAAAUACAACUGUGAUUUCAAUCCAGCAUAAAAAUGUCAUUGCAGAAAAUAGUCCCUUCUGUUUGUAACAGAGGAACAGAGUCAGUUCUGUGACGGUAAAAGCUGACAGCUCACACCUAACUACUGCUAAGGUGGUGCUUUGUUUAUGCCUUAUUUAGCUAAAUGGGAGAAACAGGUCAGUCUGAUUCAUUACACUGUUCUGAUCCCUGCCUUUUAAAAAGCUCUCUGCCUAGAAAUAAAGAGCAUGUUACAUCUCUCCAGCCAUAAGUUCUCCUGAAAAGGCAGUACUGGUCUUUCUAACUUCAGCCUUCUUUACUCAUCAGUAAAUAGGUAAUUCCUGUAACACACAAGAGACAGUGUUCUCUUUCGAUCCCUUCAUGUCACACCUUGAAAACAUUAUUUUCUCAAAAAGUGCUGCUGUGUUCACUAUUUCCUGGUAGCCCACAGUGGCAAAAGUGGUAUCAGGAUAGAAGAAGCAUCCAGUUGGGCAAAGUGUAACCCCUGAAUUUACUUAGAACAACAGAAAGAGUAGAAUAGUUUCCUUUCUCCAUCUCUUAAGAAUAUGUAAAGGUAUUGUGCUAUUCCUGCAUUUUCUGAAUAAAGCCCAGGAGAAAUGAAAAAUUUGAGUCUCUGCCUUACUCAGCAUAGUGAGUAACUAGCCCAGGCCAGAUAUAAAACUGUUUUAAAAGCAGGCCUCCCUGCUGGCAGCAGCAGUGUGCCACUUUGACAUACAGCAAUAAUUUUAAAUGAGAGUGAUUUAUUUUUCUUUCAAAGGCAGCAGAUGGCAGCAAAGUUGUACAGAUGCGCCAGACUAGUGGAAGAAGAAAAAUAUCUUAGUACACACACUCUUAACAACAUUCCAUGGAAAAAAGGUAUCAUUUGUUUCUGUCUGACUUGCAGUGUGGUUAAGAAUAUAAAUCAGGUUUAAUGGACCUCGUGCACUUGUAACGUGAGGGCUUUUUUUCCCCAUUAUGAGUAGGUAAUAAAAUCAGAUAGGACAAGAUGAUGUGAAUUAUCACUCAAUAAAUUAUCUUUGUCUCUGCAGGAAUCACUCCUUUGUGUAAAUCUUUUUAGAUCCUUCAUUAAACAGAUACUGAUUGCCUUGUGCAAAUAUUAUCACAAAGUGCUAGACUGUCUGUGUGUGCACCCUGACCAAUACAAGAGCUUUGGCUGCCACUCUCUGCUGUGAGCUGUGUACCCCACUCACUUUCUCACUUGAGUUAGUUUCUGGGUGCAUCCUUUCCUGAGGUUCCUAAGUAGGUGAUGAGAUUUUUUUUUUUAGAGAGGAAAGAGAGAGGAGGAAGGAAAUGCUGCUAUGUAAAGUCAUAGUGGUUAAAACACUCCAAAUUCCUACUGUAUAAAAAAAAAAAAAAAGAACUCUGGGGUUUGGACAAGAACACUGAAAGUUUCUGGGAUUUGAUCCCUACUCAUGAAAGCAUUUAGCACCACAUUUGACACAUGUAUGUUGGUUGAAGUUCUCAUUGCCAGCAGCACUACACCACAUCCAUUUAAGAGGAGCAGCAAUUAUCAUACAUUGUUGAACUCAUUUCAGAUUGAACUGAGAACGUGGAUUUGAGUUAACUCUUUUUGAAAGAGUUCCUGUCCCUUAUUUCUACCUUUUAGUAGUUUCUUCAGUCUUUAAACCAGAACUUGUGAAUAAAGUAUAAAGCAAAGCUUACAAUACAAUCUUUCAGUAUAAAAAUGUUUUUGAAAGAAAGCUGAGUCUUAGAUUUUUACUUUUUUUUUUUCCUCCUGCUGAAGCCAGUAGAAGUUUUGUUUCAAUUAAUGGGAUCAGUCUCAGGCCUGGGAUUUGGUGUUGAGAUUCCUAUCUGGCUUACCAGUUCAUCACCACCAGAAUGUCUGUUGUCUGUAGGCAGUAAGUAAUGAUAUAUUCCAGUUGCAUAUUUUUCAUGUUGUUUAUCAAUAAAGAGCCAGACUAUGAAUUUGUUCCUUAUGCAGAAUGAGAUGCAGAGUUUCAAAGCCCCAGGAAAAGAAUUACUUAGAAAAUGUGACUUAGAAAUCCAUCACUUUUUUCUUCUCUCUAAAGAGAGCAAAUUUACACAGUGCAGCUGUCUUCUCCCAGUGUGCAGACUCUGAUCUGCUCCUGAGUCCUUAUAUACAGGGAGGGAAGUGUAGUGGCCUGUAAGAGUUUACUGCUUUCUAGCAGAGAGCCACAGUAGAGUCAGGUCAUGGAAAGGGAAAGGGGGAAUCCAUGCACUCUUUUGUCCUCUCCCGUAACAACAGUGGGAUGAGUUAGAUGCUGGCCUUUUCCUCUUACAGUGUUUUGGUCUCAUGAUAACUCCUGUGACAGUAACCACCUAUUAAAAGGACAAUAAUCAUGUUUGCUUGAGGAACUGCUUAGUUUGCUCCUGAACUAGAAGAUAAGAUCUGUUAUGUUUGUUCUCCCAUUUCUGCCAAUACUACUGAACAUCAGAGAUUAAGACCUGGACAUUUGUUUGUUUAUUUUUACAUCAAAUUAACAAAGUAUGAAGAAAAUAUAAACCAUUUUAUAAUUGCUGGAAAAGUUGCAUGUAAUUUGCAAACUGACAGAUCUGGGAAGUGAUAACUUGACUGAAAGAAUCAGAAGAAUAUUUAUUUUGCAAACCCAUUCUGAGAGUCAGAAUUUAUUACAAAAUAUUUACCUUCAGCUAGGUUGGACUGAUCUUUCCUGGCUUUUGAAAAACCCAGGCUUUUUUAAGUGGGUGGGAGACUCAAGGAGGUCCAAUUAAAUGUUAGGUAAAAGUUAUCACAGAAUCAAAAAUGUCAAAGAUUUCAUUUGGCCUCCUUAUUGCUGUUGGUGUUGCCUGGAAGUUUGUGGGCAAAACACUCCAGUCUUAUCAAAUAAUUAACAUUGAUUCUAGUCUUAACAGAACCAUUUGUUUUUCAUUUGGAAACAUUACAGUUAUCAAGGAUUUUGCCUAGUGUACGUAGCAUGUAGUAAAAAAGGUUUUUACAUAGCAAAGUUCUUUACCUCAUGAACAAAUUAUGCUCCUUCUCCUCAUGAAGGAUACAUGGCCCUGCUCCAAAGAAUUAAGUAUUUAAAAAUUAAAGCAAUUUCAAAGCUGACAUAAUUAUUUGGUGAAAAAAACCUGUUCUUUAAGAAAUAUUUGGAUGAUAAAAGAAAACCCUUGUGAACACAAUAAACAAAUUUUACUUAGGCAUAAUUGUAUUUAGUUAUUGAUUGUACUCAGUCAUUCUGGAUUUUUUUCUCCUGAUGCCUGUGUGCUCUACACUACUUAAGUAUGAUGUGAGAUAAUAUAAAAUGGUGUAUUGGCGGCACAAGGAAAAUAUUUGGAUGGCUGUCUGGAGUUGCCAUUAUUGGCUUUAAUUAUGACUUGCUGUCCUUUGGGUAAUAAAUGAGCCAGAAAAAGUUUCAUAUGUGCCAAAGUAUUCAUUAGUAUUCCCCUUUCUGUCAUUGUGCUUGCAGAAGAAGUUUAUAUCUGGCACCUGACUGCAGUUCUUAUUAGCACUGACCAAGAUACUUUGCAGAUUUUGAUAAUCAUCUGAGAGUACACCAGUGUCUCUACUUUUUGGAUACAGAAGUUGUUCCUAGGGUAACAGUGGCAGAACUCUUUGACCACAUUCUGAUCUAACUUGAGAGCAAACAUUUUUUGCAGUUCUUGAUGUGACGCGGCUGCUUAAAGUUAAGAUUUGUGGACACAACUGGAGAAAGAAAAAUGAUUACUUUUUUCACUCCUUCAGAUUGGGGGACCUGCACUAGGUCUUUAUGAGAAAGCACUUGUAUAUCAGCAUUUUAGGCCCCUUGCCACCAUUCUGUAUAGCAUUAAUAAUGGAGCCGUAAAAGUUUCUGAGAUAAAAAUAGCCUUUGGAAUAUAUUUUGAUAAUAAGAAAAUUGUCUAUAGUGAAGUAGUUUUUCUUUGCCAUAGGGUGUCUCUAGAGUAGGAAUAAAACAAAAUAAUAACUCAUAAAGAAUAUUUCAAGAACUCUUCUGACACUUCACUAAGGAGGCUCUGCUGAGGUUGGUGACCACUCCUUUGGCAUCCACUCUUGAACAGACUGGUGAAUAAGGAUGAAUUCCUCCUCCAAUACAUGUUUACUGUUGCAAAACUUGAAUUUAGAACUUUGUUUGAACUGAACUUACAGUCAUGUUUUAAGCAGCCUUUGAAAUGCUGGCCUGUGGGACACCAGACUGUUCUUAUAAACUAGUGUUUUAAUUAAAGCAGUGUGUAAACAAAUGCUCCUGAUUUUGAAGGCAUUUGAUGACAUUUUCCACUUCUCAUCUGUCACAUUAGGGCAUAAGCUGGACUUGACAUAAGCACACAGCUAUUCUUGAGCUUCUAGGACUUUGAGAGGAUUCUUGCUUAUGGGCUGAUACUGUUUCACAGUCUUGUUCUCCCUGAAGCCUCAUGGGUUUCAAAAUCCUCAAACUCCUCAGAGAUUUUAAUCUAGUUCAUGGAUGGAUUUCAA